AAAGCAAAGGACAUAACGUGUCAUCGUUGUGCAAAAAAGUGUCAUUUCCAAAGGAUGUGCCGAAAGCAGAAAUCUCAAACCAUGGGCGUGAAGACAGCAAGCCAGAAGGAAAACAAGAACGAAGGAGAAUAAAUUCAAUCGGAGUAAAACACAAGAGGUGGACCAAAGACUAUCAGAUAGGCGGACAGAUAGUUACAUUUAAGCUAGACAGCGGAUCCGAUGUAAACUGCAUUCAAAGAAAUCUACUUGAAAAACUU
Long non-coding RNA from Scaptodrosophila lebanonensis, 257 nucleotides. RefSeq lists it as uncharacterized. The record is from RefSeq and is a predicted model, not a curated record. The transcript is spliced from 2 exons. Lineage: Eukaryota; Metazoa; Arthropoda; Insecta; Diptera; Drosophilidae.